Meleagris gallopavo (turkey) is the source of this 304-nucleotide non-coding RNA. The record is from RefSeq and is a predicted model, not a curated record. NCBI's taxonomy places the organism in Eukaryota, Metazoa, Chordata, Aves, Galliformes, Phasianidae.
AGGGCAGGUCCCCGGCAACAGUCCUCAGGGACGCUUGGCACUCACUCCUGCUUCUAUUUGCUCUCUCCUCUUCAGUAUGCACGCUGUGUCGCCGAGCAGAUGUUCACCCGGACACCUGCGGGCCCACAUUUGGCGAGAGCGGGAUUUGCGUCCACAAGUUUUGCUUGUUUUUUGCCGACGGCCUUUACGAACACACUGCCGGACAGAGGGCGGUUCUGAAGUUCCCCCUUGAUGCCAUCAGAUGCGCAAUCGAGGAGGCAGAGCAGAAGCACUGCUUUGUUUGUGGAGAGAAGGGGGCCUCCAU